Molecule: ribosomal RNA, 496 nt
Filed under: uncultured bacterium
Lineage: Bacteria
Description: partial 16S ribosomal RNA
Rfam family: Bacterial small subunit ribosomal RNA
Source: RNAcentral
AUGAACGCUGGCGGCGUGCCUAAUACAUGCAAGUCGAGCGAACAGACGAGGAGCUUGCUCCUUUGACGUUAGCGGCGGACGGGUGAGUAACACGUGGGUAACCUACCUAUAAGACUGGGAUAACUUCGGGAAACCGGAGCUAAUACCGGAUAAUAUUUCGAACCGCAUGGUUCGAUAGUGAAAGAUGGCUUUGCUAUCACUUAUAGAUGGACCUGCGCCGUAUUAGCUAGUUGGUAAGGUAACGGCUUACCAAGGCAACGAUACGUAGCCGACCUGAGAGGGUGAUCGGCCACACUGGAACUGAGACACGGUCCAGACUCCUACGGGAGGCAGCAGUAGGGAAUCUUCCGCAAUGGGCGAAAGCCUGACGGAGCAACGCCGCGUGAGUGAUGAAGGUCUUCGGAUCGUAAAACUCUGUUAUUAGGGAAGAAUAAACGUGUAAGUAACUGUGCACGUCUUGACGGUACCUAAUCAGAAAGCCACGGCUAACUACGUG